AUGUUCCUUCGGGGUCAGGUGAAAUUCCUAACCGGCGGUGAUGAAGCUUAUGCUUCUUAGUCCGUGACCCGGUUAACCUAUGGUUAAGCGGUGGAUCUGGUGAAACUCCAGGGCCGACAGUUAAAGUCUGGAUGGGAGAAGGAAAAA
Molecule: non-coding RNA, 147 nt
Filed under: Bacillus sp. (in: firmicutes)
Lineage: Bacteria; Bacillati; Bacillota; Bacilli; Caryophanales; Bacillaceae
Also listed under: 1 other name
Description: Bacillus sp. FMN sequence
Rfam family: FMN riboswitch aptamer (RFN element)
About the family: The RFN element is a highly conserved domain that is found frequently in the 5'-untranslated regions of prokaryotic mRNAs that encode for flavin mononucleotide (FMN) biosynthesis and transport proteins.
Source: RNAcentral